Molecule: ribosomal RNA, 253 nt
Filed under: uncultured bacterium
Lineage: Bacteria
Description: partial 16S ribosomal RNA
Rfam family: Bacterial small subunit ribosomal RNA
Source: RNAcentral
UACGUAGGGGGCAAGCGUUGUCCGGAUUUAUUGGGCGUAAAGAGCGUGUAGGCGGCCAGGUAGGUCUGCUGUGAAAACUCGAGGCUCAACCUCGAGAUGUCGGCGGAAACCAUCUGGCUAGAGUCCGGAAGAGGAGAAUGGAAUUCCCGGUGUAGCGGUGAAAUGCGCAGAUAUCGGGAAGAACACCCGUGGCGAAGGCGGUUACCUGGAGCUUUGCUGACGCUGAUGCGCGAAAGCGUGGGGAGCGAUCCGG